This 481-nucleotide ribosomal RNA is filed under the name uncultured bacterium. RNAcentral's name for it is "partial 16S ribosomal RNA". It matches the Rfam family "Bacterial small subunit ribosomal RNA", at positions 28 to 507 of the family's 1533-position model. The record is from RNAcentral.
GAUGAACGCUGGCGGCGUGCCUAACACAUGCAAGUCGAACGGAGAUUACGGACGGAAGUUUUCGGAUGGAAGACUGUAAUUCUUAGUGGCGGACGGGUGAGUAACGCGUGGGCAACCUGCCCUAUACAGGGGGAUAGCAGCUGGAAACGGCUGGUAAGACCGCAUAAGUCGGCGAGACCGCAUGGUUUUGCCGGGAAAUGAGCAAUCAGGUAUAGGAUGGGCCCGCGUCCGAUUAGCCAGUUGGCAGGGUAAAAGCCUACCAAAGCAACGAUCGGUAGCCGGACUGAGAGGUCGGACGGCCACAUUGGGACUGAGACACGGCCCAAACUCCUACGGGAGGCAGCAGUGGGGGAUAUUGCACAAUGGAGGAAACUCUGAUGCAGCGACGCCGCGUGAGUGAAGAAAUAUUUCGGUAUGUAAAGCUCUAUCAGCAGGGAAGAUGAUGACGGUACCUGACUAAGAAGCCCCGGCUAACUACGUG